This 669-nucleotide long non-coding RNA is filed under the name Cucumis sativus (cucumber). RNAcentral's name for it is "long non-coding RNA (CSAT_LNC000510)". The record is from RNAcentral. Lineage: Eukaryota; Viridiplantae; Streptophyta; Magnoliopsida; Cucurbitales; Cucurbitaceae.
AAAGUGCCCCUUCAAAUAGAGAUACUGUUUGGAAUUCCUCUACCUGUUAGACCUUCAGUACUUGAUGGAAGAAGCAGAGUAUAUGGAACAUUAACAGGUCCACUUCUAUUCUUGAGAUUCCCAUCUUUGUUCCUUUCAAUAAUUCUACUUUCAACGUCAUACAUAUCUUUUCCAAAUUUCUCAAACCUUUCUAUUGCAUCUUUGUCUGAAGUCCACUUAAUGCUAUCCCUUUGUCCAAGAUAAACUUCAUCAGAAGCAUGCCUUGACAAUAUUUCAAUUAGUGAAACUCCAAGAAGUGUUUGCAACAUUGAAUUGACUGUUUUCAAGUAAGCCUUCUCAGGCUUUGAUUCAAGUUCUUUGUACUCAGCACUUCCUACUUCAGGCAUAUGCCUACGACUUAUAGUUGGUCGAUUCGGAAUAAAGCCUCCAUAAGGAUAUUGUCCAAAGUUAACCGCAGCAUGAAGAGCCGAAGAUAUCCAUAUGAUGGUAGUACAUGCUUCCACCAGUUCGUUGAAAUUUUGCAACUUUGGCCACCAUGUUUCAUUUUUCUUAUCAGCGUGACCUUUCUCUCUAGCCUCUUUCCACCAAGAUUGAAGUUCAACAUCAUUUCGAAUUGCAUUGUCAUCUUUGUAGUAUAGAGAGCAAUAGUUUGUCACCCAUGUUUUGAUA